GCCUGGGUGGCUCAGUUGGUUAAGCAUCUGACUUUGGCUGCGGUUAAGAUCUUGCAGUUUGUGGGUUCAAGCCCCACACCAGGCU
RNAcentral lists this transfer RNA (85 nucleotides) under Felis catus (domestic cat). It matches the Rfam family "tRNA". Rfam says of the family: Transfer RNA (tRNA) molecules are approximately 80 nucleotides in length. Their secondary structure includes four short double-helical elements and three loops (D, anti-codon, and T loops). The record is from Rfam by way of RNAcentral. Lineage: Eukaryota; Metazoa; Chordata; Mammalia; Carnivora; Felidae.